UCACCAUCACCCUCACCAUCACCAUCACGAUCAUCAUCACUCAUACAGCACAUGCUGUGCGCCAGCUGCCACUCCAAGAACUUCACGUGCAUUGACCCAUUUCAUGCUCACACAAUCCCAUGGGGUAGAUGCUAUUAUUUUCUUCAUUUUCCAAGUGAGGAAACUGAGGCACAGAAUGUUGAAGUGAUUCACUCAAGUCAGCAAUUACACAGAGCCAGGACGUGAACCUGCUUUCACCAAAACAGUGUAACCCCAGGCCACACCCUCGAAUUUCCCCAGUGUCCCCCUUCAAUCACCCUGGUAGGGGUCACCUCUGAGCCCUGGUGUUGGUGACUCCUGCAGGCUGCCGGCUUGCUAGCCUGAUGCCACAGGAGCCUCUUAAGAGCCUCCGGAAUGGACCACAACAGAGCAAAGACAAGAGGUACAAAGUCUUUCAUCCCAGCCCCGGGACAGGCUGUCGUGAGCCUGGCUUCCUGAGAGCGGUGCAGGUGGGGGCGGAGGCUGAUGGGGGUUGGGUGGGGACCUGAGGGCAGCCUUGGAAUGGGGCUGUUUAGAUACAAUGGGUUUGACUGCUUUUUGGAGAAAUAGGUGGAUAGAUGGGGGGGAAUUGAAAUUUUUAGACUGGAUGGUGCCUGAGAUCUCUUCCAUCUCUCAAUUCAUGUGACCCUACAGCAGAUGUUGGGAAACGCUUUCUGUGAAAGACCAGAAAAUGCAUAUUUAGGUACUGAGGAUUCUACCAUCUCUGUCAUGACUGCUCAACUCUGCUGUUGUACUACGAAAGCCCUUGGGCCAAAGUGCCGUCUCUCCCAUCUAUGUAGCCUCAAUCUCCACCCAGAGAGGCACCUUCUUGUUCAACCUGUGUUCUACUGCCUUUGUCCUUAAAACUGUAAGACCACUUUGGAGGGCCUUGCGCCUUAGGGAUGGUGAGGAGCCAUCCUUCAUCUCCUGUCAGAAACCCACAAAACUUCACAAAACCCACAGUAGC
Molecule: long non-coding RNA, 985 nt
Filed under: Callithrix jacchus (white-tufted-ear marmoset)
Lineage: Eukaryota; Metazoa; Chordata; Mammalia; Primates; Cebidae
Description: lncRNA (ENSCJAG00000076715.1)
Source: RNAcentral